GUCUACGGCCAUACCACCCUGAACGCGCCCGAUCUCGUCUGAUCUCGGAAGCUAAGCAGGGUCGGGCCUGGUUAGUACUUGGAUGGGAGACCGCCUGGGAACACCGGGUGCUGUAGGCU
Ribosomal RNA from Cavia aperea (Brazilian guinea pig), 119 nucleotides. Lineage: Eukaryota; Metazoa; Chordata; Mammalia; Rodentia; Caviidae. The record is from Ensembl.